AUAUUACUAUAUGUUGUUGAUGGACAACUGUGUUGAAACAUGUUUUUGGUUUUUGUUUGUAUUUCAUUUUUUACACAAUGUCAUAUUUAAUCAGUGUUUAUAUUAUUGACCUCAGUUACUGCACUUUUUUUAUUUUCCGUGUAAGGAGAAAAGUAUAUCUUUCAAAAAUGUUUAGAAGCUGCUAUUGUCCGAAUGGUGAUCUGAAACAAACUGAAUGUCAUGAUAUUCAGUCGUUUGACUCCCUGUGUCGCUAUUAGCUUUCCUAUCAUUAGUAUGAUUUGUGUUUGGCCAUGAUUCCUUCUUUUCAAUCCUAAGCUGACUUUGCAUUUGAGGUUAUCAAUGAAGUAGAGAGGUAUUGUCUCUACAAACAAUGAAUCCAUCCGUCUUUCCAUCAUCCACACAGGACCCACAAACCCCCACCAAAAGUUGGAAAAAUAGAUUUUUAUUUAAGGUCUAACUACUGCAAGUUAGUUUGCAAUGGGGAAGGAUACUAAAUGAAUUAAACGGGACUCAUGACUAACUUUUAGGAAAUAUGAACUUUGAAAGCACGUUCUAUAGGCUCUAUCAUCAGAUUACAUCAAAACAUAUAAAGUCCUGCAUACAUUUUUUGGGGGGGAUAUUAUCAAAUUAUAUGUAAUAUUAAUGGUAAAUGGAAUGUAUUUGUAUUGUGCUUUUCUAGUCUUCUGACCGCUCAAAGCGCUGCAACAAUACAUGUCAUCAUUCAUGUAUUGAUGGCAGGAGCCACCCGCCCAGCAGCACCUAUCGUUCACAACCGCUAUUCACAGCUACGGGAGCAAUUAGGGGUUAAGUGUCUGUGGAGCUGGAGAUCGAACAAUCGAUCUUCUGGUUGUAGGGCUGCCCCGCUCUCCAUUAAGUAGGACCUACUCCUGGAAAUGCUGCUUAACACUUAACACAGUACUGCAAUUGACUGCACUGAAAAGUCAUGCUAACCUUUUUAAACGGAUUAAUCAAAACUCAAGUCAUUGAAUCCUUCCCUUCUUCAUAUAAAUGAACAUGACCGGCCGUCGCGUCCAAAAACGUAGAACUAUGAAGUAUUCCCUUUUGUGUCAUUAGUCAUUUUUUGGAUCCCAAAAUCAGAAAGGCUAAAGAAUGGGACUUCACGUCAGCUUAAAAAACGACAUUCUUAAUACUGGAGAUGGUACAAAUUAGCCAUAUCUAACCACAAUAGUACCACAAAGUAACACAAUUAUGAAUUGGAUGAGGACAUCACCUCUCUACUGUAGUCAUCACAGGAUCUCUUACUGUACCUCAUGCCUGUAAUGUUUGCUGCUUCUACACUUUUGGUAUUUUAGUGACAUUGUUGCGUCUCAUAACAGUGAUGUACAUAGUAGAACUAUUUAUUGAGAGUGUUAUACUUUUUUAAGUUAUAUUUAAUGUCCACGUAAGUUAUUUUUUACACAAAAAACAUCAUCGGUUGUGAGUCAAAACUGUAAUUUGUCUCUGAUGCUUUGUUGUGAUCAUUUCUGUCAUGCAUCGACCAGACGCACAAUACACUUCAGACUCACAUCCCCACAAGAAACUCAUUGGUCAUAAAGUGUAGAUGCAUCCAAUGAGGAUCCAACUCAUGUCCAAAUGUUACUGAGUGCAGUGUAUCAUUUUCCCCCUUUAACACCCGAAUGUAAAGUUUUUCCUUUUUAUUUGCUAUUUUUUUUAAAUCCACAAAUUAGCCAACACGUACCAUAUGAGGUGUUGUGAAAAGAGAACCAAGUAUAUAAUGUUUAAGGGAAAGAAGGACUUGAUGCCACAGGACAGUUGAUGGUUGCCCCAGAAAGAGUUCUUGGACUGCGGGAGAGUAGAAGGUGGGCA
This is a long non-coding RNA of Gasterosteus aculeatus aculeatus (three-spined stickleback), 1827 nucleotides long. NCBI's taxonomy places the organism in Eukaryota, Metazoa, Chordata, Actinopteri, Perciformes, Gasterosteidae. The record is from Ensembl.